CUGGCGGCGUGCUUAACACAUGCAAGUCGAACGAAGCAUCCCGCCCGAGAAAAUGGAGUGCUUGCACAAAGUGGACUCAAUUGGGAUGACUGAGUGGCGGACGGGUGAGUAACGCGUGGGUAACCUGCCCUAUACAGGGGGAUAGCAGUUGGAAACGACUGAUAAUACCGCAUAAGCGCACGGUAUCGCAUGAUACAGUGUGAAAAACUCCGGUGGUAUAGGAUGGACCCGCGUCUGAUUAGCUAGUGGUGAGGUAACGGCUCACCAAGGCGACGAUCAGUAGCCGACCUGAGAGGGUGACCGGCCACAUUGGGACUGAGACACGGCCCAAACUCCUACGGGAGGCAGCAGUGGGGAAUAUUGCACAAUGGGCGAAAGCCUGAUGCAGCGACGCCCGCGUGAGUGAUGAAGUAUUUCGGUAUGUAAAGCUCUAUCAGCAGGGAAGAUAAUGGCGGUACCUGACUAAGAAGCACCGGCUAAAUACGUGCCAGCCGCUGC
This 498-nucleotide ribosomal RNA is filed under the name uncultured bacterium. Its description in RNAcentral is "bacterial SSU rRNA". It matches the Rfam family "Bacterial small subunit ribosomal RNA", at positions 36 to 518 of the family's 1533-position model. The record is from RNAcentral.